ACACCAUCUUUAACCCAAGAGGUUUCUUGGGUCAAAGGAGUAUGAGUUUUACCCCUCACCAUUGAGGGGUUAACUUGAAAUAAAUGGUCAACUUGAGACCAAAGUUUAGCUAAUUGAAACAAUUUGGCAUAAUUUUAGUCACCAACAAGUUGACCCAUACUUUAUAUAACAA
Molecule: unclassified non-coding RNA, 172 nt
Filed under: uncultured fungus
Lineage: Eukaryota; Fungi
Description: sequence contains ITS2
Source: RNAcentral